This 654-nucleotide ribosomal RNA is filed under the name Exophiala equina. RNAcentral's name for it is "eukaryotic LSU rRNA". It matches the Rfam family "Eukaryotic large subunit ribosomal RNA", at positions 163 to 831 of the family's 3401-position model. Lineage: Eukaryota; Fungi; Ascomycota; Eurotiomycetes; Chaetothyriales; Herpotrichiellaceae. The record is from RNAcentral.
UUCGGGUACCGCCUCGGUUUAAAUUUCUUGGAACAGAAUGUCAAAGAGGGUGAGAAUCCCGUCUUGGACCGGCGGUAGGGCCCAUGUGAAACUCCUUCGACGAGUCGAGUUGUUUGGGAAUGCAGCUCAAAAUGGGUGGUAAAUUUCAUCUAAAGCUAAAUAUUGGCCAGAGACCGAUAGCGCACAAGUAGAGUGAUCGAAAGAUGAAAAGCACUUUGAAAAGAGAGUUAAACAGUAUGUGAAAUUGUUGAAAGGGAAGCGCUUACAACCAGACUUGCGCGCGGCGGUUCCCCCUUCCUUUUGGUUGGGCUACUCCGUCGUGUCCAGGCCAACAUCGGUUCUGGGGGUCGGUUAAAGACCCUGGGAAUGUAUCUACCCUUCGGGCGUAGACUUAUAGCUCAGGGUGUCAUGCGACCUCCCGGGACCGAGGAACGCGCUUCGGCUCGGAUGUUGGCGUAAUGGUUGUCAGCGACCCGUCUUGAAACACGGACCAAGGAGUCUAACAUCUAUGCGAGUGUUUGGGUGUCAAACCCGGAACGCGAAAUGAAAGUGAACGGAGGUAGGAAGCCAUGAGGCUGCACUAUCGACCGAUCCUGAUGUCUUCGGAUGGAUUUGAGUAAGAGCAUAGCUGUUGGGACCCGAAAGAUGGUGAAC